AUGAACGCUGGCGGCGUGCCUAAUACAUGCAAGUCGAGCGAACUGAUUAGAAGCUUGCUUCUAUGACGUUAGCGGCGGACGGGUGAGUAACACGUGGGCAACCUGCCUGUAAGACUGGGAUAACUUCGGGAAACCGAAGCUAAUACCGGAUAGGAUCUUCUCCUUCAUGGGAGAUGAUUGAAAGAUGGUUUCGGCUAUCACUUACAGAUGGGCCCGCGGUGCAUUAGCUAGUUGGUGAGGUAACGGCUCACCAAGGCAACGAUGCAUAGCCGACCUGAGAGGGUGAUCGGCCACACUGGGACUGAGACACGGCCCAGACUCCUACGGGAGGCAGCAGUAGGGAAUCUUCCGCAAUGGACGAAAGUCUGACGGAGCAACGCCGCGUGAGUGAUGAAGGCUUUCGGGUCGUAAAA
Molecule: ribosomal RNA, 413 nt
Filed under: soil bacterium 06G-12
Lineage: Bacteria
Description: bacterial SSU rRNA
Rfam family: Bacterial small subunit ribosomal RNA
Source: RNAcentral